RNAcentral lists this ribosomal RNA (573 nucleotides) under Chasmodes saburrae (Florida blenny). Its description in RNAcentral is "partial 16S ribosomal RNA". It matches the Rfam family "Bacterial large subunit ribosomal RNA", at positions 1817 to 2597 of the family's 2925-position model. Lineage: Eukaryota; Metazoa; Chordata; Actinopteri; Blenniiformes; Blenniidae. The record is from RNAcentral.
CGCCUUCUGAUAAACACACAUAGAAGAUCCCGCCUGCCCUGUGAUAUUAAAUUUAACGGCCGCGGUAUUUUGACCGUGCAAAGGUAGCGAAAUCACUUGUCUUUUAAAUGAAGACCUGUAUGAAUGGCAUAACGAGGGCUUAACUGUCUCCCUCCCCCAGUCAAUGAAAUUGAUCUGCCCGUGCAGAAGCGGACAUAACGCCAUAAGACGAGAAGACCCUGUGGAGCUUCAGGCAAACAAGUAGCCCCUGUAAAGACUAAUCUUAAUAAUAAGUAAAACAUUGGGGUGACUAUUUCGCUGCCUUUGGUUGGGGCGACCGCGGGGCAUAAAAAACCCCCAUGAGGAAUUGGGACAAACCCCCCUCAAACCGAGAGCACUAGCUCGAAAUAACAGGAUAUCUGACCUAACUGACCCGGCAAAGCCGAUCAACAGAACCAGUUACCCCAGGGAUAACAGCGCAAUCCUUUCCGAGAGUCCUUAUCGACGACAGGGUUUACGACCUCGAUGUUGGAUCAGGAUAUCCUAAUGGUGCAACCGCUAUUAAGGGUUCGUUUGUUCAACGAUUAAAAUCCU